RNAcentral lists this long non-coding RNA (568 nucleotides) under Sus scrofa (pig). RNAcentral's name for it is "lncRNA (ENSSSCG00070010618.1)". Lineage: Eukaryota; Metazoa; Chordata; Mammalia; Artiodactyla; Suidae. The record is from RNAcentral.
AAAACGUGUCUCUAGGCAGAAAUUAUUAUCUUAUACUAAGAUAUUAAUACAUAUUGAAAAGACUGAUAAUCAUUGUGAGAAAAGCGGUAUUAAUAUGCUAUCUCUUUGGCUAAGGGUGAUGUAGAAAGUGACAGGUAAUUGUAAUUAACUCAGUCAGUUAACAGUUUGACAUUUGAUUAUUGAGGGCAAACGAAAUAAAUAUUGCGAUGAGGAUAUGACUCCACUACUGUGCAAAUGGAUAGUGGAAGAUUUGGAUCAAGGGAGAGACUAUCUCAAUAUUUUUAAAACCUUGUCUGCUUGUUGUUGUUCAGAGGACAUGCUCCUGCUCUUUCGGCUUCUGCUGAGCUCAAGAUUGUCAGGCCGCCUCCGCGCCAGCAAAGAAGCGAAGGAGGGUGCACCGGACCUGAAUGCAGCUUUCUUCCUUGAUGAGCAGGUGAGGAUGGCAUCAUUAUCUUUGGACUCAGGAGACCAGUGUGAGCAGCAUCCCCUUCCUGGUAUUGGUUUCGGUGGUCCAUCUAAGGGUAUUUACUGCAUUAAUAAAAUGUUUGAAAUAGAAGUAAGGCAGUCC